This 1076-nucleotide long non-coding RNA is filed under the name Solanum tuberosum (potato). RNAcentral's name for it is "long non-coding RNA (STUB_LNC007339)". Lineage: Eukaryota; Viridiplantae; Streptophyta; Magnoliopsida; Solanales; Solanaceae. The record is from RNAcentral.
AUAUACUUACGGUGUCUAAGCGUAAAAGUUAGAGAAUUAUAAUUGCCAAGAACUGCAUUAUAGUUCGUAUUAGUGGUAGCACUAACUGAACAUGUAGAUCGGAUAACAACUACAAUAUAAUAGCAGACACAUGAUUGUCCAAAGGGUUCCACCUCUAACUCUCGCAACUACAUUUAAGACCAAAAUACCUUUUAACGGCCUAUUUUGAGCUUGAAAGAAGAACUGCUACGCCCCUUCUCUUCAGUAAUAUCCUAAGCUUCUCUCUUUUCCAUACUAUGAAGUGUCGCAUUAAGAAUGCCACAAGAUCAUGUGAUGUUGAUGUUGGUCGUUAGAAAACUCAGCUAGGACAAAAAUAACAGUGAUCUCCUUGUUGGUUGGCAGGCUUCCUGGUCCCUGCAAUUCUUCAUAAAAAAAUUAUCAAACUACGGAGUUUGUGAAUUUGUGUGACACUGUGCAGGAGCAAAAACCAUGGAUAAUUAUGUUAAUCAGUCAGUUGAACCAGAAAAAAUAUAAAGGAAACCGGAAAAACUCAUAGAAUUUGUUCCAGAUACUACUAUUGUCUAUAAUACUGCAUUCGUAAUGACAACAUGUCAACAUCUCCACAAGUUUUUAAUGAAAAUCAAACAAACUUAAGAGAAGAAUAAAAAAAAGUUCACUAAUAACUUGCCUGAAAUUGAAAGAACCCGAAGAACAGACAAAGUUAGAAUCAACAAUAUGGUAAACCAGAAGAUGAACCGCCUGAAGAAGAAGUUUUUGGGAGUAGGUGAAACCUAAUUGUUUAUUUCAAGCAUGAGUAGAAAUUUCGAGAAAGAGAUUUUUGUACUUGUGUUUGAAAUUUCUCCACUUGGAGAGAAAUUUGUCAAUAAGUACCAUUAAAUUAAAUAUUGUACCAAUUGACAAUUAUACCCUUAAAAGAUUAUUCUAGAUCUGAGUAUCUCUUAACAAUGUCUUAAUUUACACUUCUCAUCCUCUAUAUCAAUUUUGCAUGGAUGUUCGUUUAUAAUUCUGUGCGAAACAGAAAUCUUUUUGUUUUUAUUUUUUAUAAAUGGAGUAGAAGAGGAAAUUGAAGAGAAAAU